CGUACCUUUAAGGUAGUCCCGUGAGGCUAGUAAGGUCGUUAUAGAUGUGAAUCGUAGUCCGAGGACUACGUCUACCUCUUUGCGACCAGAACGCAAAGAGGUUUUUUUAU
Pontibacillus halophilus is the source of this 110-nucleotide regulatory RNA element. It matches the Rfam family "PyrR binding site". From Rfam's summary of the family: This family represents the PyrR binding site and terminator structure. The record is from Rfam. NCBI's taxonomy places the organism in Bacteria, Bacillati, Bacillota, Bacilli, Caryophanales, Bacillaceae.